Molecule: transfer RNA, 76 nt
Filed under: Spirochaetota bacterium
Lineage: Bacteria; Pseudomonadati; Spirochaetota
Description: Spirochaetes bacterium tRNA-Phe
Rfam family: tRNA
About the family: Transfer RNA (tRNA) molecules are approximately 80 nucleotides in length. Their secondary structure includes four short double-helical elements and three loops (D, anti-codon, and T loops).
Source: RNAcentral
GGGGCCAUAGCUCAGUUGGAAGAGCGGUUGAUUGAAGCUCAACAGGUCGGCGGUUCGAUCCCGUCUGGUCCCACCU